GAAUUUGAUUUGAUAACAAAAUAAUUUUUUUCAAAGUACUAGUGCCCGGUUUCAGAAGUGUCGACUUAAGCUUAACUAAACUAGCCUCUCAUAGCUAGCAAAACAGAACACGAAUCCAUUGAAAAGAACAUGAAUUACAAACUGAUUCUUGGAAGGCAAAGUUCUUCAAGUCGUCCGAUUUCCCUUCUCCUAAUUAGCUGAAUUUUCUAGCUGCUACUCUAGCUCCUUGAUCGGAUUUGCUGGCCCAAUUUUUAGAAAAUUCUGCUUGCUUGAAUCACGCCUUUCCUAUGCUGCUGUUCUUUCUCUAAAUUUUUUUCUCUUCUCCCCUUUUCUUCAGCUGCUAUCAUCUCUAUUUAUGGGAUAAUAACCUCCAAUCAAUUCAAAAAUUAAAAUCAAUCUUAUCCCCCUUUUCCUUAGCCUUACCCGUCGCAUGAAAAUAGCUUCAGCUUAGUAGAGUUUUAAUUCAACUCUUCAAUGCUGAUUUGGCUUCCAAUUGUUUAAACUAGAGUCGGCCACC
RNAcentral lists this long non-coding RNA (517 nucleotides) under Gossypium raimondii (Peruvian cotton). Its description in RNAcentral is "long non-coding RNA (GRAI_LNC007644)". Lineage: Eukaryota; Viridiplantae; Streptophyta; Magnoliopsida; Malvales; Malvaceae. The record is from RNAcentral.